AGCGAACGCUGGCGGCAGGCCUAACACAUGCAAGUCGAACGAACUCUUCGGAGUUAGUGGCGGACGGGUGAGUAACACGUGGGAACGUGCCUUUUGGUUCGGAAUAACUCAGGGAAACUUGUGCUAAUACCGAAUGUGCCCUUCGGGGGAAAGAUUUAUCGCCAUUAGAGCGGCCCGCGUCUGAUUAGCUAGUUGGUGAGGUAACGGCUCACCAAGGCGACGAUCAGUAGCUGGUCUGAGAGGAUGACCAGCCACACUGGGACUGAGACACGGCCCAGACUCCUACGGGAGGCAGCAGUGGGGAAUCUUGCGCAAUGGGCGAAAGCCUGACGCAGCCAUGCCGCGUGAAUGAUAAAGGUCUUAGGAUUGUAAAAUUCUUUCACCGGGGACGAUAAUGACGGUACCCGGAGAAGAAGCCCCGGCUAACUUCGUG
RNAcentral lists this ribosomal RNA (433 nucleotides) under uncultured bacterium. RNAcentral's name for it is "partial 16S ribosomal RNA". It matches the Rfam family "Bacterial small subunit ribosomal RNA", at positions 29 to 507 of the family's 1533-position model. The record is from RNAcentral.